AUUGAACGCUGGCGGCAGGCCUAACACAUGCAAGUCGAGCGGAUGAAGGGAGCUUGCUCCUGGAUUCAGCGGCGGACGGGUGAGUAAUGCCUAGGAAUCUGCCUGGUAGUGGGGGAUAACGUCCGGAAACGGGCGCUAAUACCGCAUACGUCCUGAGGGAGAAAGUGGGGGAUCUUCGGACCUCACGCUAUCAGAUGAGCCUAGGUCGGAUUAGCUAGUUGGUGAGGUAAAGGCCUACCAAGGCGACGAUCCGUAACUGGUCUGAGAGGAUGAUCAGUCACACUGGAACUGAGACACGGUCCAGACUCCUACGGGAGGCAGCAGUGGGGAAUAUUGGACAAUGGGCGAAAGCCUGAUCCAGCCAUGCCGCGUGUGUGAAGAAGGUCUUCGGAUUGUAAAGCACUUUAAGUUGGGAGGAAGAGCAGUAAGUUAAUACCUUGCUGUUUUGACGUUACCAACAGAAUAAGCACCGGCUAACUUCGUG
RNAcentral lists this ribosomal RNA (484 nucleotides) under uncultured bacterium. RNAcentral describes it as "partial 16S ribosomal RNA". It matches the Rfam family "Bacterial small subunit ribosomal RNA", at positions 30 to 507 of the family's 1533-position model. The record is from RNAcentral.